UACGGAGGGUGCGAGCGUUGUCCGGAAUCAUUGGGCGUAAAGGGCGCGUAGGUGGCGGCUUAAGCGUGCGGUGAAAGCUCGGGGCUCAACCCCGAGUCGGCCGUGCGAACUGAGUCGCUUGAGCACUGUAGAGGCAGGCGGAAUUCCGGGUGUAGCGGUGGAAUGCGUAGAGAUCCGGAAGAACACCGGUGGCGAAGGCGGCCUGCUGGGCAGUAGCUGACGCUGAGGCGCGACAGCGUGGGGAGCAAACAGG
RNAcentral lists this ribosomal RNA (253 nucleotides) under uncultured bacterium. Its description in RNAcentral is "partial 16S ribosomal RNA". It matches the Rfam family "Bacterial small subunit ribosomal RNA", at positions 524 to 776 of the family's 1533-position model. The record is from RNAcentral.